UACAGAGACUGCAAGCGUUAUUCGGAUUCACUGGGCGUAAAGGGUGCGCAGGCGGCCGUGUGUGUUAGGUGUGAAAGCCCGGGGCUUAACCCCGGAAUUGCGCCUAAAACUACACGGCUAGAGUAUUGGAGAGGGUAGCGGAAUUCACGGUGUAGCAGUGAAAUGCGUAGAUAUCGUGAGGAACACCAGAGGCGAAGGCGGCUACCUGGACAAUUACUGACGCUCAGGCACGAAAGCGUGGGGAGCAAAAGGG
RNAcentral lists this ribosomal RNA (253 nucleotides) under uncultured bacterium. Its description in RNAcentral is "partial 16S ribosomal RNA". It matches the Rfam family "Bacterial small subunit ribosomal RNA", at positions 524 to 776 of the family's 1533-position model. The record is from RNAcentral.